GGGUUGUGAGGUUAAGCGACUAAGCGUACACGGUGGAUGCCCUGGCAGUCAGAGGCGAUGAAGGACGUGCUAAUCUGCGAUAAGCGUCGGUAAGGUGAUAUGAACCGUUAUAACCGGCGAUUUCCGAAUGGGGAAACCCAGUGUGUUUCGACACACUAUCAUUAACUGAAUCCAUAGGUUAAUGAGGCGAACCGGGGGAACUGAAACAUCUAAGUACCCCGAGGAAAAGAAAUCAACCGAGAUUCCCCCAGUAGCGGCGAGCGAACGGGGAGSAGCCCAGAGCCUGAAUCAGUGUGUGUGUUAGUGGAAGCGUCUGGAAAGGCGYGCGAUACAGGGUGACAGCCCCGUACACAAAAAUGCACAURCUGUGAGCUCGAUGAGUAGGGCGGGACACGUGGUAUCCUGUCUGAAUAUGGGGGGACCAUCCUCCAAGGCUAAAUACUCCUGACUGACCGAUAGUGAACCAGUACCGUGAGGGAAAGGCGAAAAGAACCCCGGCGAGGGGAGUGAAAAAGAACCUGAAACCGUGUACGUACAAGCAGUGGGAGCACGCUUAGGCGUGUGACUGCGUACCUUUUGUAUAAUGGGUCAGCGACUUAUAUUCUGUAGCAAGGUUAACCGAAUAGGGGAGCCGAAGGGAAACCGAGUCUUAACUGGGCGUUAAGUUGCAGGGUAUAGACCCGAAACCCGGUGAUCUAGCCAUGGGCAGGUUGAAGGUUGGGUAACACUAACUGGAGGACCGAACCGACUAAUGUUGAAAAAUUAGCGGAUGACUUGUGGCUGGGGGUGAAAGGCCAAUCAAACCGGGAGAUAGCUGGUUCUCCCCGAAAGCUAUUUAGGUAGCGCCUCGUGAAUUCAUCUCCGGGGGUAGAGCACUGUUUCGGCAAGGGGGUCAUCCCGACUUACCAACCCGAUGCAAACUGCGAAUACCGGAGAAUGUUAUCACGGGAGACACACGGCGGGUGCUAACGUCCGUCGUGAAGAGGGAAACAACCCAGACCGCCAGCUAAGGUCCCAAAGUCAUGGUUAAGUGGGAAACGAUGUGGGAAGGCCCAGACAGCCAGGAUGUUGGCUUAGAAGCAGCCAUCAUUUAAAGAAAGCGUAAUAGCUCACUGGUCGAGUCGGCCUGCGCGGAAGAUGUAACGGGGCUAAACCAUGCACCGAAGCUGCGGCAGCGACGCUUAUGCGUUGUUGGGUAGGGGAGCGUUCUGUAAGCCUGUGAAGGUGUGCUGUGAGGCAUGCUGGAGGUAUCAGAAGUGCGAAUGCUGACAUAAGUAACGAUAAAGCGGGUGAAAAGCCCGCUCGCCGGAAGACCAAGGGUUCCUGUCCAACGUUAAUCGGGGCAGGGUGAGUCGACCCCUAAGGCGAGGCCGAAAGGCGUAGUCGAUGGGAAACAGGUUAAUAUUCCUGUACUUGGUGUUACUGCGAAGGGGGGACGGAGAAGGCUAUGUUGGCCGGGCGACGGUUGUCCCGGUUUAAGCGUGUAGGCUGGUUUUCCAGGCAAAUCCGGAAAAUCAAGGCUGAGGCGUGAUGACGAGGCACUACGGUGCUGAAGCAACAAAUGCCCUGCUUCCAGGAAAAGCCUCUAAGCAUCAGGUAACAUCAAAUCGUACCCCAAACCGACACAGGUGGUCAGGUAGAGAAUACCAAGGCGCUUGAGAGAACUCGGGUGAAGGAACUAGGCAAAAUGGUGCCGUAACUUCGGGAGAAGGCACGCUGAUAUGUAGGUGAAGUCCCUCGCGGAUGGAGCUGAAAUCAGUCGAAGAUACCAGCUGGCUGCAACUGUUUAUUAAAAACACAGCACUGUGCAAACACGAAAGUGGACGUAUACGGUGUGACGCCUGCCCGGUGCCGGAAGGUUAAUUGAUGGGGUYAGCGCAAGCGAAGCUCUUGAUCGAAGCCCCGGUAAACGGCGGCCGUAACUAUAACGGUCCUAAGGUAGCGAAAUUCCUUGUCGGGUAAGUUCCGACCUGCACGAAUGGCGUAAUGAUGGCCAGGCUGUCUCCACCCGAGACUCAGUGAAAUUGAACUCGCUGUGAAGAUGCAGUGUACCCGCGGCAAGACGGAAAGACCCCGUGAACCUUUACUAUAGCUUGACACUGAACAUUGAGCCUUGAUGUGUAGGAUAGGUGGGAGGCUUWGAAGUGUGGACGCCAGUCUGCAUGGAGCCGACCUUGAAAUACCACCCUUUAAUGUUUGAUGUUCUAACGUUGACCCGUAAUCCGGGUUGCGGACAGUGUCUGGUGGGUAGUUUGACUGGGGCGGUCUCCUCCUAAAGAGUAACGGAGGAGCACGAAGGUUGGCUAAUCCUGGUCGGACAUCAGGAGGUUAGUGCAAUGGCAUAAGCCAGCUUGACUGCGAGCGUGACGGCGCGAGCAGGUGCGAAAGCAGGUCAUAGUGAUCCGGUGGUUCUGAAUGGAAGGGCCAUCGCUCAACGGAUAAAAGGUACUCCGGGGAUAACAGGCUGAUACCGCCCAAGAGUUCAUAUCGACGGCGGUGUUUGGCACCUCGAUGUCGGCUCAUCACAUCCUGGGGCUGAAGUAGGUCCCAAGGGUAUGGCUGUUCGCCAUUUAAAGUGGUACGCGAGCUGGGUUUAGAACGUCGUGAGACAGUUCGGUCCCUAUCUGCCGUGGGCGCUGGAGAACUGAGGGGGGCUGCUCCUAGUACGAGAGGACCGGAGUGGACGCAUCACUGGUGUUCGGGUUGUCAUGCCAAUGGCACUGCCCGGUAGCUAAAUGCGGAAGAGAUAAGUGCUGAAAGCAUCUAAGCACGAAACUUGCCCCGAGAUGAGUUCUCCCUGACYCYUURAGRGUCCUGAAGGAACGUUGAAGACGACGACGUUGAUAGGCCGGGUGUGUAAGCGCAGCGAUGCGUUGAGCUAACCGGUACUAAUGAACCGUGAGGCUUAACCUUACAACGCCGAAGCUGUU
This 2930-nucleotide ribosomal RNA is filed under the name Escherichia coli. RNAcentral's name for it is "23S ribosomal RNA". Lineage: Bacteria; Pseudomonadati; Pseudomonadota; Gammaproteobacteria; Enterobacterales; Enterobacteriaceae. The record is from RNAcentral.